GCUCUUAGUGGCGCAGCUAACGCAUAUAAGUUGACCGCCUGGGGAGUACGGCCGCAAGGUUAAAACUCAAAUGAAUUGACGGGGGCCCGCAACAAAGCGGUGGAGCAUGUGGUUUAAUUUCGAAGCAACGCGAAGAACCCUUACCAGGCCUUGACAUCCAAUGAACUUUCUAGAGAUAGAUUGGUGCCUUCGGGAACAUUGAGACAGGUGCUGCAUGGCUGUCGUCAGCUCGUGUCGUGAGAUGUUGGGUUAAGUCCCGUAACGAGCGCAACCAUUGUCCUUAGUUACCAGCACGUUAUGGUGGGCACUCUAAGGAGACUGCCGGUGACAAACCGGAGGAAGGUG
RNAcentral lists this ribosomal RNA (345 nucleotides) under uncultured bacterium. RNAcentral's name for it is "bacterial SSU rRNA". It matches the Rfam family "Bacterial small subunit ribosomal RNA", at positions 836 to 1175 of the family's 1533-position model. The record is from RNAcentral.